UCUGGAAGCGGAAAUACAGAUGCAUGCAGUUAAAGUGUCUGCAUGUAGUAACUGCCUUCCUAUAGCAAUAUAAUGGCGAUCUCUGCCUAGCUCAGUGAAGAAUAGGCUGGGUUAGAUCGUUCCUCUCCAUACAUG
Molecule: non-coding RNA, 135 nt
Organism: Pelobates cultripes (western spadefoot toad)
Lineage: Eukaryota; Metazoa; Chordata; Amphibia; Anura; Pelobatidae
Source: the annotation of a GenBank genome assembly